This 433-nucleotide ribosomal RNA is filed under the name uncultured bacterium. RNAcentral's name for it is "partial 16S ribosomal RNA". It matches the Rfam family "Bacterial small subunit ribosomal RNA", at positions 29 to 507 of the family's 1533-position model. The record is from RNAcentral.
AACGAACGCUGGCGGCAUGCCUAACACAUGCAAGUCGAACGAGACCUUCGGGUCUAGUGGCGCACGGGUGCGUAACGCGUGGGAACCUGCCCUUAGGUUCGGAAUAACUCCCCGAAAGAGGUGCUAAUACCGGAUAAUGUCUUCGGACCAAAGAUUUAUCGCCUUUGGAUGGGCCCUCGUUUGAUUAGCUAUUUGGUAGGGUAAAAGCCUACCAAGGCGACGAUGCAUAGCUGGUCUGAGAGGAUGAUCAGCCACACUGGGACUGAGACACGGCCCAGACUGCUACGGGAGGCAGCAGUGGGGAAUAUUGGACAAUGGGCGCAAGCCUGAUCCAGCAAUGCCGCGUGAGUGAUGCAGGCCUUAGGGUUGUAAAGCUCUUUUUACCGGGAUGAUAAUGACAGUACCGGGAGAAUAAGCUCCGGCUAACUCCGUG